Zea mays is the source of this 682-nucleotide long non-coding RNA. RefSeq lists it as uncharacterized. The record is from RefSeq and is a predicted model, not a curated record. NCBI's taxonomy places the organism in Eukaryota, Viridiplantae, Streptophyta, Magnoliopsida, Poales, Poaceae. The transcript has 3 exons.
UCUUCUUCCCACCGCGUUCAGGCUCCACCCGGCGCCUGACACCAACGAAGCCCUCCACAAAAAACGGCACGCAAUUGUCUCCAUCUCCACCGGUGCCACCGUCCGUCCUCCGCGUGUCUGACGGUCCGAGCUUGUACGGACACACAGCAGGAAAUGGCUCGCCAAUUGUACCAGUUGAGUCGCUCCUCGCAUAGUUUCCAGAAGGCAAGCCAAAGUUGUUAUCUCCGGUUCCACGGCCAAGGUUUCCUGAUCUUCCCCAACUAAUAUCAUCACUAGGAAUACCACAGCACUUCUAGGUUGAGCAAAAGAAGUGAUGUUUGUAUGGUUGCCUAUGUAGUUCAGAUUCCCAUACCCCACACAUUGAACUCAGUAUUGAUCCUGAAUCAUCGUUAGGGCCAACAUACCCAAUUGGACUUCUUAAUCGGUUUGACCUACCAUUGAAGUAAAAACCAGAACUUGCAAUGGGCAUAUAGAUUUAGUAUAUUCAUGCUGCUCUGAACAUAUAUUGUGUCCACGAAUGGACAUAUAGAUUUAGUAUAAUAAUCAAGGAUUAUUUAGGUUGCCAAGUUAACAACUUAUAAAUGACAUGGCAUGACACACAAGCAAAUCAGUUCCGAAUGGUUUCGUAUGGAGAACUCAAUUAAAGUGCGUUGUUCUUACAUGCAUGCACAUGUUAUGAACA